UAUUGCCACGCCAAUUUCACCAAGUAUUUCAGUGAUGGGUUUUGGUCUGACCCUGUUCUUUCUCGGGUUUUCUCAGCUAGGAAGCCUUGUUACUUCAAUACUGGGGUAAUGGUGAUGGAUUUGGUAAGGUGGAGAGAGGGGAAUUACAGGAGGAGAAUCGAGAACUGGAUGGAGGUACAGAGGAAGAGGAGGAUUUACGAGUUGGGUUCACUGCCACCGUUUUUAUUGGUGUUCGCCGGUGACAUAGAGGCUAUUGAUCACCGGUGGAACCAGCACGGGCUCGGCGGGGAUAAUGUGAGAGGGAGCUGCCGGUCAUUGCAUCCUGGUCCAGUUAGCUUGCUCCAUUGGAGUGGGAAAGGGAAGCCUUGGGUUAGACUAGAUGGCAAGAAGCCUUGCCCUCUUGAUCAUCUGUGGGAGCCUUAUGAUCUCUACAAAGGGAACGAGAAUGCUAGAGUGAAGGAUCAUUCUCUGGGGUUUUUGAGUUCUUCUCAAUCUACAAUAAUGGGUUACUCGAGUUAUUUAUGAUUCUUUUGAUUUUGUUUUUUCAAUUUUUAGUUUACAAAUUUGAAGAAAUUCUUUCCUAGAUGUGUACAUAUAAGGAAUGGGGAUUGGAUUGGCAACUGGGGAGGAGAUUGAUGGGUUUUUAAUUUUUAUUUAAUUUCGUGAUAAAUUCAUGUGGCUACAGGAUUUUAAUUCCUUAUUUUAGGGGUUCCAUUGCUUUGGAACAUUUUUGGUGGGAUAAUGGUUUCUUUGUAUGUAAUUGAAUCAUUGGAGG
This 775-nucleotide unclassified non-coding RNA is filed under the name Hevea brasiliensis (rubber tree). The record is from RNAcentral. Lineage: Eukaryota; Viridiplantae; Streptophyta; Magnoliopsida; Malpighiales; Euphorbiaceae.